AUGGAGGAAGAGGGCAACAACAUCAUGGAGGAAGAGGGGGCGACAGUGAUCCUAGGUUGUGCGUGGUGGCACUGCUCUGCACAGUGGCGCCAGAGCCGGGAGGCCGGCCGGGAGGAGGAAGGUGGUAGUGCGGGGUGGCGUGCGCAGCUCUCACGCCGGCGGUGGGAAAGGAGGAAGGCCACGACAACAGAGAAAGAAGAUUCCACUUGGGCACAUCGCUGCUAUUCUGUUGGGGCGUCAGUACGGUGCGGCUGGAUGUCGCGAUCGUGCUUGCAGUCCGGUGGCACAAGGCUCGUGGUCGGAUGUGCAAUGCAGUGCAGUGCUAUUCACCCUUCCGCAAUGCAGUUCGCCGGCAGAUGUGUUGGCCCAUCGAAGAUCAACUGCACCCCCUCCCCCGACGGUGCCAUGCAGUCCAGUACGUGGGUGCACGCAGCACGCCCCACCGGUGCCGUGCAGUCCAAAGUGUGGGUGCAAGCAGCACACCACCCAUUCCCAAGCCCAUCUCUCUCCCUCCCCGCACACGCGCCAAGUGCUCUCUAUUUCUCACAAGUCGCUACAAUGGCGGACCAGAAGCUCGCCAAGCUGCGCGAGGCCGUCGCCUGA
This 603-nucleotide ribosomal RNA is filed under the name Triticum aestivum (bread wheat). Its description in RNAcentral is "partial small subunit ribosomal RNA". Lineage: Eukaryota; Viridiplantae; Streptophyta; Magnoliopsida; Poales; Poaceae. The record is from RNAcentral.